UACGGAGGGGGCUAGCGUUGUUCGGAAUUACUGGGCGUAAAGCGCACGUAGGCGGCGAUUUAAGUCAGAGGUGAAAGCCCGGAGCUCAACUCCGGAACUGCCUUUGAGACUGGAUUGCUAGAAUCUUGGAGAGGCGAGUGGAAUUCCGAGUGUAGAGGUGAAAUUCGUAGAUAUUCGGAAGAACACCAGUGGCGAAGGCGGCUCGCUGGACAAGUAUUGACGCUGAGGUGCGAAAGCGUGGGGAGCAAACAGGG
RNAcentral lists this ribosomal RNA (254 nucleotides) under uncultured bacterium. Its description in RNAcentral is "partial 16S ribosomal RNA". It matches the Rfam family "Bacterial small subunit ribosomal RNA", at positions 524 to 777 of the family's 1533-position model. The record is from RNAcentral.